RNAcentral lists this unclassified non-coding RNA (316 nucleotides) under Hevea brasiliensis (rubber tree). The record is from RNAcentral. Lineage: Eukaryota; Viridiplantae; Streptophyta; Magnoliopsida; Malpighiales; Euphorbiaceae.
ACUAAAUCCUCUUUCUGCUCAUAAAGAGGUGUGGAGAGGAUUAUGCUGUUACUUUUACUAAUUGGAUCAUUCUUGGGAUCCAUGAUUUCCUCUCUACCAGUCAUUGCUCCCAAAGAUGGCACGAAAAACUCACAAACAGAUAGUAAGAAAUCUGGUACAACAAGAAUACGAGGCUGCUGUAUCCGUAGAACAAAUGAUUGGGAUGCCAAUCUCCAUCUGCAGUCCAUCACAACCAUUGUUGAAGUUGGAAAGUCAACACCAAUUUCAGAAGAGUUCUGUCGAUGAGCAUCAAUGCAUGACCCAAGCAUCAGCCUCA